UGCAAGUCGAGCGGAGUGAUGGUGCUUGCACUAUCACUUAGCGGCGGACGGGUGAGUAAUGCUUAGGAAUCUGCCUAUUAGUGGGGGACAACAUUUCGAAAGGAAUGCUAAUACCGCAUACGUCCUACGGGAGAAAGCAGGGGAUCUUCGGACCUUGCGCUAAUAGAUGAGCCUAAGUCGGAUUAGCUAGUUGGUGGGGUAAAGGCCUACCAAGGCGACGAUCUGUAGCGGGUCUGAGAGGAUGAUCCGCCACACUGGGACUGAGACACGGCCCAGACUCCUACGGGAGGCAGCAGUGGGGAAUAUUGGACAAUGGGCGCAAGCCUGAUCCAGCCAUGCCGCGUGUGUGAAGAAGGCCUUAUGGUUGUAAAGCACUUUAAGCGAGGAGGAGGCUACUGAAGUUAAUACCUUCAGAUAGUGGACGUUACUCGCAGAAUAAGCACCGGCUAACUCUGUGCCAGCAGCCGCGGUAAUACAGAGG
This 481-nucleotide ribosomal RNA is filed under the name Acinetobacter sp. Mhg 4. RNAcentral's name for it is "bacterial SSU rRNA". It matches the Rfam family "Bacterial small subunit ribosomal RNA", at positions 56 to 531 of the family's 1533-position model. The record is from RNAcentral. Lineage: Bacteria; Pseudomonadati; Pseudomonadota; Gammaproteobacteria; Moraxellales; Moraxellaceae.